AAGAUUUUAAGUUAAAUAAACUAUUAACCUUCAAAGUUAAAAAAAUCAAAUUGAUAAAUCUUA
RNAcentral lists this transfer RNA (63 nucleotides) under Batracomorphus curvatus. RNAcentral's name for it is "tRNA-Trp". Lineage: Eukaryota; Metazoa; Arthropoda; Insecta; Hemiptera; Cicadellidae. The record is from RNAcentral.